CACCCUGCCGUGAUCCCGGGAGUCAAAUGGACUCAGCACCCACACGACUAGCCGAUGCGGAGCCCUUCCCCGGGACGCGCGGCAGUCCCCGCGUAUUUGUGAGCUGAAGCGGUCCGCGUCUCCUGAUGCGCUGUCCUGGCCGCCAGCCGGCUGGCCGCCGUCAUAGGGGCCGAGGCCUGCCCGCUGUCCGCGCGACGAACGUGGGAGAGGGCCGGGCUUCGUCCGCACCCGGGCAGUCCCCCACCCCCAUCCGCUCAGCCGCUCGCAUGCGCUCACUAACCGCCGGGCCCGCCGCUCCUUAGGAGACCCUAACCGAGGAGCUGGAGUCGCUCCAGGAGCGGCUCGGUAGCGACCUUCUCGACUGUAGCCACUUCGGCGAGGGUUUGUCUCUGGAGCUGGACGGGUUGCGGCUGCAGAUCCGCCAGCUGGACCAGACCCGGCAGCGACUGCAGAGCCACCUGGGGCCGGCCGACGAAGGCGCCACCAUCGAGGUGGCGCGCGAGGAGCUGGAGCUGCUGCACCGCGACCGUGAGGAGCAGAGUGAGCAGAUCCAGCAGCUGGGCGGGCUGGUGCGCGUGCUGUGCCAGUACUACCAGACGGCCGAGCGGCUGUACCGGCCGGCGCCGCCGCCCGGCCGCAGCGCUGACCCGGAGGCCGAGGCAACCGACCGCAUGG
Pollicipes pollicipes is the source of this 675-nucleotide long non-coding RNA. RefSeq lists it as uncharacterized. The transcript is spliced from 3 exons. The record is from RefSeq and is a predicted model, not a curated record. NCBI's taxonomy places the organism in Eukaryota, Metazoa, Arthropoda, Thecostraca, Pollicipedomorpha, Pollicipedidae.